CUUAAUUCCUCACAGCUCUGGCUUUUCUCAGCAUGUCUUCAUAGCUUUCAUCUGACAGCUAUUGUACUGACAUGUAUUUCUCCUCUGGAUCUGCCUUCUCCAAACACCAAAGACUAUUAGUGAAUUUCCUUCCCUGGCUGCAAGCAUGUGACCAAAUAUUGCCUGCAAUGAAC
Molecule: long non-coding RNA, 173 nt
Filed under: Chinchilla lanigera (long-tailed chinchilla)
Lineage: Eukaryota; Metazoa; Chordata; Mammalia; Rodentia; Chinchillidae
Description: lncRNA (ENSCLAG00000028960.1)
Source: RNAcentral